This 258-nucleotide ribosomal RNA is filed under the name uncultured bacterium. RNAcentral describes it as "partial 16S ribosomal RNA". It matches the Rfam family "Bacterial small subunit ribosomal RNA", at positions 524 to 777 of the family's 1533-position model. The record is from RNAcentral.
UACAGAGACCUCAAGCGUUAUCCGGAAUCAUUGGGCGUAAAGCGUACCGAUAGGUGGUUUAGAAAGUCAGAUGUGAAAUUCCAAGGCUCAACCUUGGGACUGUCAUUUGAAACUUCUAAACUAGAGGGGCAAAGAGGAAGCUGGAACGAACGGUGUAGUAGUGAAAUGCGUUGAUAUCGUUCGGAACACCAAUAGCGAAGGCAGGCUUCUGGGUGCCACCUGACACUGCUAGGACGAAAGCGUGGGGAGCGAAGUGGG